ACAGUGUUGCCGAAAGGGACACAUGCACAAUAUCAAAUAAAAUAAUACACACUUACAGCUUCUAAGUGGUGGAUGCAAACUUACGACAUGUAUAGAAUUAGCAAUGAUUUUGAGUUAUGCAUGUUUCCUUGUGUACGUAAUUUUGAGUGAUGGAAGUGCAUUGUUUGUACGCUUUGAAAUGAAUACGGGGCGCUCAAGAAGCAGCAUAAAGUCAAUCUAGUGGAAAAUCUACUACAAAUGAUACAAUCCCUGGAUGUGAAGAAGCUAGUGAAGGAGAUGUCGACGAGUGGAUGGGGUAUGUGUGGAGAACCUUGCUGAUGCUGCUGUGACUAAAAACCAGGAAGAAGUGGACCGCAAUGACGGAAGUGGCAAUGAGGCUGAAAGCGCCAAAGGACAGUGCUACACCUGCUGAUUUGAUGUUUAAGAGACGAUGGCGCAACUGUGCAUCGUAUAACAUACUGUCUUCAUUACGCCAAAAAACAAUGGCUGAGUCUUUGUCAUAUAAAAGCUGACACAGUGAAGGCAAUUCCAUCCAUAAAGGAGGAGGAUUUACUACUACAAGCGCUGAAUGACUAUAGAUGUAGACUCUGAACUAUGAGAACUCAGAAAUCAGUUACUUUGUUUCUGAAUCUGGAAAAAUUCCAUGGCAGAGUAACUUCGCCUAACAUAACUGAUUCAAACAUUACGUGAAAAACACAAUAAGAAUACAGAGAACAUGUUCAUAUAUUACUAAACAUUAAACAAAAUAAAUAUGAGAUGAUAU
Long non-coding RNA from Schistocerca gregaria, 763 nucleotides. RefSeq lists it as uncharacterized. NCBI's taxonomy places the organism in Eukaryota, Metazoa, Arthropoda, Insecta, Orthoptera, Acrididae. The record is from RefSeq and is a predicted model, not a curated record. The transcript has 3 exons.